GAUCAAGAGUCACAUGCUCUACUGAAUGAGCCAGCCAGGCACCCCCUCUCAGAUUAGAUAUUAACUGGUACCUAAACUGAUAAGCUUGUUGUAAGUUUUGAACAGCACAGGUUCACUUUCAGGAGAUUUUUUACAGUGCAGCACUAUAAAUGUAUUUUCUCCUCCUUAUGAUUGUCUUAAUAAUAUUUUCUUUUCUCUAGCUUCCUUUAUUGUAAAAUUACAGUACAAUACACUACAAAAAGAUGUUAAUCGACUGUUUUAUGGUAUCAGUAAGGCUUCUGGGUCAAUAGUUGGCUAUUAGUAGUCAAGUUUUUGGGAAGUCAAAAGUUCUAUGUAAAUUUUUGACUAUGCAGGGUGUUUGACAUCCCUAACCCUGGCACUGCUCAAGGGUCAACUGUAAUUUAAUACAAGUACAGUUGCUCAGGAAAAGCAUUCUUUUUGUAAUUUUCUGGCAAUAUACCAAAUCCAUCCGCUAACUUAAUUAUAUCCAGAUCACUAGGCCUAUUUUUGCUUGACUGUAAAAAACAAAGUCUCCAAUGAGCAUCUAUUGUAUACUUUGUAUCUGGGAAAAAUGGCUAUGAACGUUAGCCCUAAAGAGGCAAAAAAUACUUCCUCCUGUAUCCCAACUAUAUGACACACACAAGAUGUUUCUUAAAUCUACAAAAUGUUUUAUAAAAUGUACAUUAUGGACCAAAGUAUCAUUAAUCUCUCUCCUUAUGUCCCUUAGGAGGUAGUACUAUUUUUUAGUAUAUGGAUUAUUAUUUUUUCUUAAAAAAUUUAAAAGUUGAGGGGGCUGCCGCCGGAGCUGCUGCAUCCAGGACUGGGAGCUGCUGCCAUCGCAGCCAUGGUGUCAGUGGGUUGGGGGGACCUGUGGACACCUCCCAUGAGGACAUGAUUCACAAUGCCCAGACGGACUAUUAUGGCACCCGCCUAGCAACCUGUUCAUCAGACAGCUCUGCCAAAAUCUUCAAUGUGUGAAAUGGAGGACAGAUCCUCAUUGCCGACCUCAGGGGUCAUGAGGGUCCUGUGUGGCAAGUGGCCUGGGCCCACCCCAUGUAUGGCAACAUCCUGGCAUCCUGCUUCUAUGACUGGAAAGUCAUUACCUGGAAGGAGGAGAAUGGCACCCGGGAGAAGACGCACGAGCACAUAGGACACAACUCCUCAGUAAACUCUGUGUGCUGGGCCCCCCAUGACUAUGGCCUAAUACUGGCCUGUGGGAGCUUGGAUGGGGCCAUCUUCCUGCUGACACACAACGGACAGGGCCAAUGGGAAGUGAAGAAGAUCAACAAUGCUCACACUAUUGGCUGCAAUGCUGUCAGUUGGGCCCCUGCUGUUGUACCUGGAAGCCUCAUAGACCAGCCAUCGGGGCAGAAGCCCAACUACAUCAAGAAGUUUGCAUUGGGCGUCUGUGACAACCUCAUCAAACUGUGGAAGGAGGAGGAGGACGGCCAGUGGAAGGAGGAACAGAAGCUAGAAGCACACAGUGACCGGGUUCGAGAUGUGGCCUGGGCCCCCUCCAUCGGCCUGCCCACCAGCACCAUCGCCAGUUGCUCCCAAGGCGGUUGUGUGUUCAUCUGGACUUGUGAUGACACCUCAGGCAAUACGUGGUCACCCAAACUAUUGCACAAGUUCAAUGAUGUUGUGUGGCAUGUGAGCUGGUCCAUCACAGCCAACAUCCUGGCUGUCUCAGGCGGAGACAGUAAGGUGACCCUGUGGAAGGAGUCCGUUGAUGGGCAGUGGGUGUGCAUCAGUGAUGUCAACAAGGGCCAGGGUUCUGUGUCUGCUUCUGUCACAAAGGGCCAGCAGAACGAGCAGUGACAAGACAGGCAAGGCCCAGCUCCCCACCUGCUGACUCCAGGACUGCCCUUUCCUGGACCAACUGACCAAAUAGCUGGGAGAAACAGCUUCAACACGAUUACUUUCCCAGGAAUAGUACAAAUGCAACCAGACUGAUCAUCUGUCAUAACAUGAUUUGAUAUGGUUUAUAAUUUACUGUCCUGAUGAAAGCAUUCAUGUUAUGAGGAAAAAGCUACAAAUGAUCUUCAAAUCUAUUAUUUUAAAAUAUUUUUGGCCAUUUUUAUGUACCUUUUGGAUUCAGGCAUUAUUUGGGGGGUUUUGUUUCCAAAAAAAUAAAUUCAUAUUGCUUAUAAAAAAAAAUUUAAAAGUUGAAAGGUUGCUUAUGCCCUUGCUUUAUCUUAAUUCAAAUGAGCAUAUAUAUUGCAUUUUUAAAUACACAGGCUUAUAUGGAAACUCAGACACACUGUUUUCCCAAUAGUCUAACUACAUAAGGUUUUACUAUAUUACCAUUUACGAUUUUAGCUCAAUAUUAUCUGUAAAAUCAGAAUAAUAUAUCAGAUGAUCACCAAUUCCUUAAAACGCAUUUAAAAAGGAUUCUAAAAUAAAAUUAUUUUCUAUAUUUCCAUAAUCCUUUAAUACCUUCAUUUCAGUGAGGUCUGGACUCAGCUUUUCAAAUAUUUAACAAAAAGUAUGCCACAAUGACCAAAAUAUCUUUUAUUCAAUGGAAAACCAGUCAACCAGUAAAGCUCCAAUACCCACAAACCUUCAAAUGUGGGGCUUGAUUUAGACAACCUCUUGUGGCUGUGAACUGCUAAGACUGCUGUUAGAGGUCCCUGAUUUAACUUUUCCACUUAAUAAAAAUAGCAGCAACACAUUGUAUUUGUAAUACUUUACAGAUUUCAGAAUGCUGGAAUCUUAAAGAAGCCUGGUGUAUUAGAAAAGACAGUAUGACUUCAGAGUGAUAAAUAUAGUAGACUUUAUAAGAGAAUAGUAACAAAGCUAGAAAGAAGCCAAUCUCCUGCUUGCCAAUUCACUAAAGUUUUAUUUCCUACAUGAUAAUUAAAUGCAAUCCUAGUUUAGAAGAUAUUACUAAAAGUAUUGAAUUAAA
Callorhinus ursinus (northern fur seal) is the source of this 2905-nucleotide non-coding RNA. The record is from RefSeq and is a predicted model, not a curated record. NCBI's taxonomy places the organism in Eukaryota, Metazoa, Chordata, Mammalia, Carnivora, Otariidae.